This is a long non-coding RNA of Toxotes jaculatrix (banded archerfish), 3901 nucleotides long. RefSeq lists it as uncharacterized. The transcript has 2 exons. The record is from RefSeq and is a predicted model, not a curated record. Lineage: Eukaryota; Metazoa; Chordata; Actinopteri; Toxotidae.
GAGAGAGAGAGAGAGAGAGAGAGAGAGAGAGAGAGAGUCAUUGGUGGGGAAGUUACUCAACUAAGUGAAACUCCACUGUUUUCGCAACUAAAAGGACAAAAGUGACAGAUAGCGUGGGAUAUUCAUGCUUUCAGAAAUAAAAUGACAAAGGGGCCAUCAGUGGAGGACUGCUGGCAAAUGUCUCGGCCAGUGGUUAACAGACUGUGACUCAGAACUGCAAAUUAGAGAUUUGAUCGAAUGGUAUAGGGCACUGCAUUGGCCUGCGGACGGUUCCUGGCAUGUCUGUGAAGUGUGGCGGUGCCCUGUGGGGACGGGAACACACACACACCAGCCCCCCCAGCAUCCCCCCUCGCAACAGCUGCCGUGCUGCAGGAGGCAGCCGUACCCCUCGCUGAUCAAAUCUUGUCCGUCACAUUUCCCCUAAUUAACGGGCAUCUGCUUCCCCCAUUUUCCCUACAUGGCUACACACUUUCCCUCUGUAGUUCCAAUCAUCUGAUCGUUAUGACCUUUAACCCCUCCGAGCUCGUCUGGCUCGGAGCAUGCCUGUGUUUGCCCGCCUGCCCACCCUCCUUUCUGCUUACCUGCCUGCCACAUACCAGCUGGGGAGACGCAAGGGCAUGCAAACAAACAAACCAACGAGGCAGUGUUCAUCUGGAGGACAGACAUCACACUUCUGUCUUUUCCAGUGAUUAUUAUUCCUGCCAAACUUCGCUCGCUUUCAAAAAAAGAAAAAAAAAAAUCUAACAGUAAAAACUGAAAUUUACAGACUUUCGUUUCUACUUGGCCACAGUAGGCUUUUGUUUCUGAGAACCACUGUCUAGCAACACAGUUAUGAGUCACAGUGACUGAUUUGCAGAGUCCCUUUCAAAGCCAGAAAUGGUCCAAACAAACCAAGAACUUAACGUCUUAAAAUUCUAUUUUUGCCCAAGAGAUUUUGGCUCCUUCCUACACUAAAGAAAACUUAAACUCAUCUCAUUUUGGUACAGGAAAACUUGGCUUACAGCGCUGUCAUGAUUUUUAUUUCACUACGUGGAAUGACAUAAUUAAAGUGUGGUAAAAGCCCGGAUUAACACCAGUCACUCAGACCCCACAGCCAGUCACCAGCGUGAGGAAAUCUCUUUUUGUUGGAGGCUUUAUGUGUUAUGGUAAGGACAGAGGAUGACGAGGAUGAUGCCUGUGUGUGUGUGUGUGCAUUCCGUCAUUCACAACACAGAAGCACCUGAGCAGGCACCAGCUGGCAAUGUGAGAGGUGCGCUCUAAUUUAAAAUGCAUCUCAUUAAAAGCAACCCAUAGCCUGUCACUGCACUCUUUCUCUGUAUAAAGACACAGUGUGGAAUUAAUGAUUUUCUUAAAAAAAAAAAAAAAAAAACCUCAAGAAAUAGCUGCUGAAAUGUUUCUCUCAAUAAAUAUGUUACAUAGGAAAGAAUUACGCUUUGUAGCUAUUUUUCUUAUUUUUAAAUAUGUUUUUGUUUUAACCAAUAGGAGUUUAUGUAGAUUUUGCUGUUGAAGUUUGACCUUGAAUUAUGUGUAUUUCUAUUGAGCAGAGAUUGAAGGCUUUUGUUUGUUUGUUGCUAUUGUUUAAAACCCAUUUCCCAUUUGCAGGGAGAAAUAUACUUAAGAGAAGUGUUUAUUCAUUUGUAGAGAUGGCUCCACUGCCAAGGAGAGGAGACUUGAUGGAAGCUCAGAUUCAUUAAAACUUAAUUAAUAUGCAUCAUUAUGUAAAUGAGGGUGCAGUUAAUGAGUUUUUAAAAGAAGCAUUCCUUAAUUAGUUCACUUUUAAUGGCAUCAUCAUUUAUCUUUUUCUUCUUUGAAGCAGAAUGAUGCACUAGAUGCAGGCAGUUCUAAAAUGCUAAUCUACGUUUUAUCAUCUUAUUUUUCUGAUUUCCAUGUGAUAGCAACGACAUCUCGAAUCUCGUCGCUAAUGAGGGACGUUUACACGUUUUAAUGUCGGUUAUUUCAAUUCAAGACACUGUAAAAUUUCUGAAAAAGGGGGAGGACUCCAAACAAACACAGAAUGCUUAUCACAUAUCCUGAGAAAAAAAAAUGAUAAUUAAAAAUGUAUCGACCAGGAGAAGUUAAAUCUAGACCCUUAGGCUACUCACAGAUGCAUUUUUUUUUCCCAGCCCGUUUGGGGAAAAAAAAAAUCUCAACAGUUCCAUUUCCCAGAGAACAACACUGGCAGGGUGUCAGAAGACUUGACAAAACCUGGAGACUUCUGACAGCGUCACACUUCUGGAUAAUUGGUCCCCGGCACUUCCUGUAAAAAGCGAGCAAACUUCCUCCUUUGCAGCGGUCCCAAUAAAACUUUCUUCACAGUGUUGCACCUUAACCAACACCGCAUUUUCUUAUGCAUUGUUAUGCAUGCCACACUGCUGUUUAAACGAUAACGUAAACUGCAGAGGAACUGUUUCUUUUUUUGUUUUGUUUUGUUUUGUUUUUGUUAUCAGAUUUCAGUCAGUAUCAAAUUCUGAGAACACGUGAGAACAUGGCUCUCAGGUGAGAGUUUCAGUUUUUAAAAGGUAAUAUUACGUAUGUGUAUCUGUCCAAGUAUAAUGAUUUUAUAAUGCUGGACAUUUGAAAACUUACUUAUAGAAAAAAACAAAAAACAAAAUGCAAGGAGGUGUUUAAAGUUUUGAAGCUUUUCAUGAGACUUUUACUGCCAAAAGCACAUUAUGUGAACUGUAUGACCUGGGUCUAGUUCAUUCAUACACACACACACACAUACACACACAUCCCCACCCUUUCACAUCUUCUCCUCUGAUGAACAUUUUGAUUGUUCCACCUCAGAAGGAAUCAGUUGCAUCAUUUCUCUUAGGGCAUCGGCACUGGGCGGUACAAGCCUUUUGCAUUAACAAUAAAUUUAUCAUGCAUGAGUAUGGUCCUCUCCUGUGAAUUGAUAAGUGGAUGUGAAUAGGAAAAUGCGGUAUAUUGGCUUGAAAGUGAAAGAGGGGUGAAAUGACACAGUGAGCCUCAAAACCCAAAUGUGGACACCAAUUUUACGUCUAAAUUCACGAGAUGUUUAGAUUUUUGAAUGUGGCGACACACAUUUUUAUGUCAUUUUUCUCCGAAAUCAAACACUGUGACAUUAGAGGACUUUAUAGCUGCACAACAAGAAGUUAGUUUAACUCAUUUCAUUUGAAGCAAUAGCAAAUAAAAUAUCAUUAUUAUUAUGAUUACUAUCAUUAUUAUUAUUAUCAUUAGUCAUUACUAUUAUUAUUUUUAUUAUUAUUAUUAUUGUUAUUAUCACUGCUACUAGUGUUGUUGUUGUUGAAAUGCCUUUGUUUUGCUAUUAUUAUCUCUCUGCUUCCCCUUAUAGAUGAAAUGCAGCAGUUUCUCUCAUUAUUUAGAUGUGCAUUCCUGUGGAAUCAAUUCUCAUAGACACAUAUAAAUUAUUGUUUAACGAGAAGCUGUAUCCUAUAAAUUAUUCAAAGCACCUGGGAUUACAAUACGAGAUCAAAUGAUAGGAAAGAAAGAGCACUCUGCUGGAGGCAGCCCGCACACGAGCCAUCACAUUCCCAGUUUGAUGUUCCACACAAUCUGCUUAUGCAGGAAUAAUUGGGGAGUAACAGACAUCAUGUGUACAGAUACACUGGCCCCGCUUUUGUAUGCCAUAUUUGGAAAGAGGUAAUUGGGCCGCUGGACAUGGUCAGCAAUGUCACCCCAACUCGUGUACACAUUUGUCCUCUGCGCAGGCAAAGUUACCAAGUAAGCUCCUGAAUAACAUGAAAAAAUAAUCAGCUUGUUUAUUCUCUCCUGCAGGAAUCCUUACAAAACUUACAAAGCGUGAAAAAAGAAUGAAAGUUAGGGAGGAGCCACUUGUUUACAGCUCUCACACAGACAUACGGAGGAGAAAAGUGUAAAAAAAAAAAAAAAAAAAAUUCAUGGCCACGUUCCCCAUCCG